ACUUGAAUAGCUUAAAUUUUUAAAGCUUAACUCUGAAGAAGUUAUGAUAGGUUCACCUUUUAAGUA
This 66-nucleotide transfer RNA is filed under the name Glaucias dorsalis. RNAcentral's name for it is "tRNA-Phe". Lineage: Eukaryota; Metazoa; Arthropoda; Insecta; Hemiptera; Pentatomidae. The record is from RNAcentral.